Non-coding RNA from Phalacrocorax carbo (great cormorant), 1062 nucleotides. The record is from RefSeq and is a predicted model, not a curated record. Lineage: Eukaryota; Metazoa; Chordata; Aves; Suliformes; Phalacrocoracidae.
CUACCAUACCAUUGUAUGAGCUCUUUGUUCAACUAGGAACUUUAUUCCACAAUUGCUGAGGGAAAUAACAGCAUUUUAGAUGAGCAUGCCAUAGCAGCUUCCUUCUCUCAGAAAAUGUGAAAAUAUGUACUACUCGGUAGCUGCCCUGGGAGGAUGGAUGGGUGCUUAUGCUCAUCUGCUGCUAUCUUGGUAACUUGUAAGACUGGUAAGACUAAAGAAACUCUUCUGUGGCACAAGCUAUUCUGUGAAAACCCAGUGAGUCUUAAAUGGGUAGCUAAAACACUAUCAACUCCUGUCUGUGGGUUUUCCUUCCUUUCCUCUAGCUGUCUUUUGGGUAGGUGGUAUCAUCUAAGACAAACCUCUUGUCCAAGUUUUUUGCGUAAUAGGAUUUUUUAAACGGGGAUUUUUAGCCUUAUUCUUAUCAAUAACGGCCUGUGUUAUCCUGAUGGGGGGAAGCUCCAGAACAACGAACAAACAGCGGUAAUGUAUUGCAAGCUCCGCACGGAUCAUGGCUUUUGGCAAUAAAACGAGCGGACGUCUGAGGCAAAACGAAGUGUGCCGUGAACUUCUGCUGAUCAGGGUAACCCACGGAGUGGAAGUCCCAAAGGAGGCAGGAGGUGGCUGCACAGGCUGGGUGCCCGAUGCACAGGAAGCCACGGUGGGAACGCGCACAGAAACGUUCCGAGCCCGUAAUCUAACGAGAAAUCUAAGCCACUGCAGAAUCUGGAAAGGAAAUGAGCAGCGUGAGGCAGAGAUGGCCCAUUUCUCCGCCUGUGGACGGAAGAUGUCUGUAAAAUCUCUGUGCAGAGAUUAGGGGUUUGUCUUCUGAAUUGAUAGCGGACUGGCUGAAUUGCAAAGAUGGAUGUCCCUUAGUUUUGAUUUCUUUCCGGUUCCUCUAAUUCAUUGUAGAGCUUCUGUUAUCCCAGGCUGUGAUGUGACAGUUCCCACGUGAGAUUUUUUUUCUUUACAAAACCGAUGUUUGUUACUGUGUUAAACUACAGAUGCCAAAGCCUGGUGCAGUUGUUUGCAAUUUUACGGCAAUAAAUCGUACAAAGAACUUGA